GCCGGGCCUGGCUGGCCUCGCCUGUCAUCCCAGGGGCUGGGGAGGCUGAGGCAGGAGGAUCGCAAGGUGGAGGCCUCAGCCUCCACCUCAGCCACUCAGCGAGACCCUGUCUCUA
RNAcentral lists this small RNA (115 nucleotides) under Marmota monax (woodchuck). The record is from RNAcentral. Lineage: Eukaryota; Metazoa; Chordata; Mammalia; Rodentia; Sciuridae.